GGAGGCAGCACAAGUGGAAUAUUGCACAAUGGGCGCAAGCCUGAUGCAGCCAUGCCGCGUGUAUGAAGAAGGCCUUCGGGUUGUAAAGUACUUUCAGCGGGGAGGAAGGUGGUGAGGUUAAUAACCUCAGCAAUUGACGUUACCCGCAGAAGAAGCACCGGCUAACUCCGUGCCAGCAGCCGCGGUAAUACGGAGGGUGCAAGCGUUAAUCGGAAUUACUGGGCGUAAAGCGCACGCAGGCGGUCUGUUAAGUCAGAUGUGAAAUCCCCGGGCUUAACCUGGGAACUGCAUUUGAAACUGGCAGGCUUGAGUCUCGUAGAGGGGGGUAGAAUUCCAGGUGUAGCGGUGAAAUGCGUAGAGAUCUGGAGGAAUACCGGUGGCGAAGGCGGCCCCCUGGACGAAGACUGACGCUCAGGUGCGAAAGCGUGGGGA
RNAcentral lists this ribosomal RNA (432 nucleotides) under Pantoea stewartii. RNAcentral's name for it is "bacterial SSU rRNA". It matches the Rfam family "Bacterial small subunit ribosomal RNA", at positions 344 to 767 of the family's 1533-position model. The record is from RNAcentral. Lineage: Bacteria; Pseudomonadati; Pseudomonadota; Gammaproteobacteria; Enterobacterales; Erwiniaceae.